GUGAGGAAUAUUGGUCAAUGGGCGCGAGCCUGAACCAGCCAAGUAGCGUGCAGGACGACGGCCCUAUGGGUUGUAAACUGCUUUUAUACGGGGAUAAAGUAUGCCACGUGUGGUUUAUUGCAGGUACCGUAUGAAUAAGGACCGGCUAAUUCCGUGCCAGCAGCCGCGGUAAUACGGAAGGUCCGGGCGUUAUCCGGAUUUAUUGGGUUUAAAGGGAGCGUAGGCCGGGUUUUAAGCGUGCCGUGAAAUGUCGGGGCUCAACCUUGACACUGCGGCGCGAACUGGAGUCCUUGAGUGCGCGGAACGUAUGCGGAAUUCGUGGUGUAGCGGUGAAAUGCUUAGAUAUCACGAAGAACCCCGAUUGCGAAGGCAGCAUACGGCAGCGCUACUGACGCUGAAGCUCGAAGGCGCGGGUAUCGAACAGGAUUAGAAACCCUUGUAGUCC
This 445-nucleotide ribosomal RNA is filed under the name uncultured bacterium. RNAcentral describes it as "bacterial SSU rRNA". It matches the Rfam family "Bacterial small subunit ribosomal RNA", at positions 354 to 796 of the family's 1533-position model. The record is from RNAcentral.